UCCCUGUUACCAGGGCAGUCUAGCUAGAGAAAUUCAACUAACUAAAAGGGUUGCGCUCGUUGAUGGACUUAACCAAACAUCUCACGACACGAGCUGACGACGGCCAUGCAUCACCUGUCACUUGGCUCAAUAAAGCACUCUCGCCUUUCGGCAAAAUUCCAAGGAUGUCAAACCUGGGUAAGGUUCUUCGCUUACCAUCGAAUUAAACAACACGCUCCACCGCUUGUGCGGGUCCCCGUCAAUUCCUUUAUGUUUUAGUCUUGCGACCGUACUCCACAGGCGGGAUGCUUAACGCGUUAGCUUCGCUACUAGAAGGGUCGAUACUUCUAACAGCUAGCAUCCAUAGUUUACGGCAUGGACUAC
Molecule: unclassified non-coding RNA, 363 nt
Filed under: uncultured bacterium
Lineage: Bacteria
Description: contains 16S-23S intergenic spacer region
Source: RNAcentral